RNAcentral lists this ribosomal RNA (426 nucleotides) under uncultured bacterium. Its description in RNAcentral is "bacterial SSU rRNA". It matches the Rfam family "Bacterial small subunit ribosomal RNA", at positions 354 to 796 of the family's 1533-position model. The record is from RNAcentral.
GUGAGGAAUUUUCCGCAAUGGGCGAAAGCCUGACGGAGCAAUGCCGCGUGAAGGAUGAAGGCCUAUGGGUUGUAAACUUCUUUUCUCAGAAAAGAAUUAUGACGGUAUCUGAGGAAUAAGCAUCGGCUAACUCUGUGUCAGCAGCCGCGGUAAGACAGAGGAUGCAAGCGUUAUCCGCAAUGAUUGGGCGUAAAGCGUCUGUAGGUUGUUUAAAAAGUAUUCUGUCAAAGAUUAGGGCUUAACCCUAGAUAGGCAGAAUAAACUUUUAAGCUAGAGUUUGGUAGAGGCAGAGGGAAUUCCCGGUGGAGCGGUGAAAUGCGUAGAUAUCGGGAGGAACACCAAAGGCGAAGGCACUCUGCUGGGCCAAUACUAACACUGAGAGACGAAAGCGAGGGGAGCAAAUGGGAUUAGAAACCCGUGUAGUCC